GACGAACCGUGCAAACGUUAUUCGGAAUCACUGGGCUUAAAGGGCGCGUAGGCGGGCCGGAUAGUCUGCGGUGAAAUCCCCCAGCUCAACUGGGGAAUUGCCGUGGAUACUCCCGGUCUCGAGGAGGGUAGGGGCAUCUGGAACAGCCGGUGGAGCGGUGAAAUGCGUUGAUAUCGGCUGGAACUCCGGUGGCGAAGGCGAGAUGCUGGACCCUUUCUGACGCUGAGGCGCGAAAGCCAGGGGAGCGAACGGG
Molecule: ribosomal RNA, 253 nt
Filed under: uncultured bacterium
Lineage: Bacteria
Description: partial 16S ribosomal RNA
Rfam family: Bacterial small subunit ribosomal RNA
Source: RNAcentral